AACGAACGCUGGCGGCAUGCCUAACACAUGCAAGUCGAACGAGACCUUCGGGUCUAGUGGCGCACGGGUGCGUAACGCGUGGGAACCUGCCCUUAGGCUCGGAAUAACUCCCCGAAAGGGGUGCUAAUACCGGAUAAUGUCUUCGGACCAAAGAUUUAUCGCAUUUGGAUGGGCCCGCGUUGGAUUAGCUAGUUGGUAGGGUAAAAGCCUACCAAGGCGACGAUCCAUAGCUGGUCUGAGAGGAUGAUCAGCCACACUGGGACUGAGACACGGCCCAGACUCCUACGGGAGGCAGCAGUGGGGAAUAUUGGACUAUGGGCGAAAGCCUGAUCCAGCAAUGCCGCGUGAGUGAUGAAGGCCUUAGGGUUGUAAAGCUCUUUUACCCGGGAUGAUAAUGACAGUACCGGGAGAAUAAGCACCGGCUAACUCCGUG
RNAcentral lists this ribosomal RNA (433 nucleotides) under uncultured bacterium. RNAcentral describes it as "partial 16S ribosomal RNA". It matches the Rfam family "Bacterial small subunit ribosomal RNA", at positions 29 to 507 of the family's 1533-position model. The record is from RNAcentral.